This 499-nucleotide ribosomal RNA is filed under the name uncultured bacterium. RNAcentral's name for it is "partial 16S ribosomal RNA". It matches the Rfam family "Bacterial small subunit ribosomal RNA", at positions 899 to 1397 of the family's 1533-position model. The record is from RNAcentral.
ACUCAAAUGAAUUGACGGGGGCCCGCACAAGCGGUGGAGCAUGUGGUUCAAUUCGACGCAACGCGAAGAACCUUACCUGGGCUCGAACGGUGCCGGACAGGCUGUGGAAACACGGCUUUCCCGCAAGGGACCUGUACCGAGGUGCUGCAUGGCUGUCGUCAGCUCGUGUCGUGAGAUGUUGGGUUAAGUCCCGCAACGAGCGCAACCCUUGUCCUGUGUUGCCACUCCGUAAGGAAGCACUCUCAGGAGACCGCCAGCGAUAAGUUGGAGGAAGGUGGGGAUGAUGUCAAGUCAUCAUGGCCUUUAUGUCCAGGGCUACACACGUGCUACAAUGGGCGGUACAAUGCGUCGCAAACCCGCGAGGGGGAGCUAAUCGCAAAAAACCGCUCUCAGUUCGGAUUGCAGGCUGCAACCCGCCUGCAUGAAGCUGGAAUCGCUAGUAAUGGCAGAUCAGCAUGCUGCCGUGAAUACGUUCCCGGGCCUUGCACACACCGCCCGU